Molecule: small nuclear RNA, 102 nt
Organism: Otolemur garnettii (small-eared galago)
Lineage: Eukaryota; Metazoa; Chordata; Mammalia; Primates; Galagidae
Source: Ensembl
GUGCUUGCUUCAGCAGCACAUAUACUAAAAUUGAUACAGAGAAGAUUAGCAUGGCCCCUGAGCAAGGAUGACACACAAAUUCGUGAAGCAUUCCAUAUUUUU